GACGAACGCUGGCGGCGUGCUUAACACAUGCAAGUCGAACGAUCAAGCCAGAGCUUGCUUUCUUGAGCGAGUGGCGAACGGGUGAGUAACACGUGAGGAACCUGCCCCUAACAGGGGGAUAACAGCUGGAAACGGCGGCUAAUACCGGAUAAGAGCUCCGCCCGCCUCUGGGGCGGGGGAAAAGGACUGCGGUCAGGUAUGAGCUCGCGGCGUCUCAGCUUGUUGGUGGGGUAAUGGCUGACCAAGACGUCGACGGGUAGCCGGCCUGGGAGGGUGACCUGACACACUGCGACGGAGCUACGGCACAGACCAGACUGGGACGCAGCGGUGGGGAAGAUUAUAUAACGGGCGGAAGGCUGAUGCGACAAAGCCGCGUGGGGGAGGAGGGGAUGGGGGUUGGAAAGCUAUUUCCUCUGGGAAGAAGAGAUAGUGACGGUACUUGACAAAGAAGCGCCGGCUAACUACGUG
This 468-nucleotide ribosomal RNA is filed under the name uncultured bacterium. RNAcentral describes it as "partial 16S ribosomal RNA". It matches the Rfam family "Bacterial small subunit ribosomal RNA", at positions 28 to 507 of the family's 1533-position model. The record is from RNAcentral.